Mesocricetus auratus (golden hamster) is the source of this 932-nucleotide long non-coding RNA. RefSeq lists it as uncharacterized. The record is from RefSeq and is a predicted model, not a curated record. NCBI's taxonomy places the organism in Eukaryota, Metazoa, Chordata, Mammalia, Rodentia, Cricetidae. The transcript is spliced from 3 exons.
CGUAUGUAUCUACCAUGUACUCUCCAGCAUUGUCAUCUGGCACACCAUUCUGAGGCCUAAAGCAAUGGGACACGCUCCCCUCCCACCUGAAGCCUUUGAGUUCACACAACAUCUUCACUUCAGCAUUACCUUUGGAGCCAUUCCUGCUCAGAGUCCAGCUUUUUUGCCACAAAGAGAAAGCAUGCUAAGAGAUCGGUCAGUGACCUAGCUGAUCUCCCAGAAUCCCUGCCAGCCACAUAGAAGCUUCCAGAAGGGCCAGUCCAGUCCAGGAGAACAUUCAGGUGACCACCCCCCCCCAAUCCCACUCAACACCCAGGAACAAGCAUAGGAAUCAGUACCCUGCUGUAUUCAGGCCACUCCUGGACCCAUGAGGGGCAGUAAUGGAUGGAGACCUUAACCAACGGGCUGUGCAGUAAUUGUGUGUUGAGCAGAGAAUGGCUGGAAUGGGCAAGAACCACUGGAUCAAAGGGGCAUCCACAGAACUUGAUGAUGAAAGCCUAUGGCUGAAGACGCCACACACUCUGCUCUCAUGGCUUGAGGACAUCAAGCUGAAAGCGACCUGGAAGCUUUCUCUCUGCUAACUGGUUUUCAUAGCACUAGAAGGUGCUAUACAGGCUACUGCGAGACAUACUCAUCAACAGUCUCUCACAGCUGUGAAUUCUGCAAACUACAGUAAUAAUCAACCUGGCAAGAUGUACCUAUUGGUGCAGUAGUGGUGUGGAUGCUACGGGGCAGCCUACUGUUUGCUUUUUGGACCUGAGGCCCACUCUAGGAGGCAACUUAAUCGAGGUAUCCAUGUGGCCAAGCACCUGUACCUAAGAGGUUGUAGGCCCCAGAAAAAAGCAUACUACUAUUAUUUUGCUAAAUAAAUAUGGUAUCAAACUGUCUUCUAAAACAGGACUUUUAGAUUAAAUUAUUCUGUUUUAAGUGUA